Small nuclear RNA from Ochotona princeps (American pika), 106 nucleotides. Lineage: Eukaryota; Metazoa; Chordata; Mammalia; Lagomorpha; Ochotonidae. The record is from RefSeq and is a predicted model, not a curated record.
GUGCUCAUUUUGGCAGCACACAUACUAGAAUUGAAUGAUACACAGUAGAUUAUCAUGGCCCCAGCACAAGGAUGACAUACAAAUUCAUGAAGCAUUCCAUAGUUUU